This 3140-nucleotide long non-coding RNA is filed under the name Gossypium barbadense (sea-island cotton). Its description in RNAcentral is "long non-coding RNA (GBAR_LNC006080)". Lineage: Eukaryota; Viridiplantae; Streptophyta; Magnoliopsida; Malvales; Malvaceae. The record is from RNAcentral.
UUGCUUCUAUACUUUUAGUCCCUCUCAUCCCCUCCCUCAUUCUUCUAAUUUUUUUCUUAUUCAUUCAUUCUUUUUCCCCCUUGUGUCUUUUAUUUCUUCAUUUUUUCCUACGAUUUUGCUUCUAUUUUCCUAGACAUUAUAUUAUUAACUUGAUCACCAAAAAUCGUCUCUUUUUGUUGUCCAUUAUUGCUCCUUUCCUCCACUUGUGGUGGUGCCGGUUAGGUCUCAUUUCUCCUAUUUUCCUUUCCCUUUUGUGUCUAUUUUUGUUGCUAUUUUACUGUUGUUUUCCACCCUAAAAUCGUCCCUUCCGCUGUCCACAAAUCUCCUUUUCUGCCGCUCAAGCUAGCCUCAUUUGUUGUUGUAUGUGGUAGUGUUGUCGCCCUUUGAACAUCACCUUUGGUUGUUGAAAUUUUUUGCUUUUGUUGCCCUUUUAAGCACAAUUUCUCUUCAUUUUUCCACUAGUAAAAAAGCCUCUUACUUCGCUAAUUUGAGUGCAUUCAAGUUCGCUUAAAUCAUUAUCUCAGAUCUAAUAAUCGAUGAAAACGUAAGUGCAAAUUUAAACAAGAUAUUGUGUCGAUAUUAUUUUAUUGAUUUUGUUGUUCUUGGUAUAAUGUCUUAAGGCCCUAAAUUGAUUUUUGCUUUCUGAUUUUGUGUAUUAUUUCUAAUGUAGGAACUGAUUUUAACAUCCCAGAUCAACAAUGAUAACAGAUCUCGCUCGCACUCACAUUUCGUAUCAGUAUAGUGUAAGUUUGCUUGUCAGAUUGAGUCUGAAAAUGCAAUAAUGUGGUACUAUCUAGACCGAAUCCUUUAGGGGUGUUUCAAGGAUGUCUUAAAUCAUAUUUAAUUGUAUUAAGUGUAGUUCACAUCUAGGCUCAUCUAAAUCUUAAGUGCAGACUUUACAGAUUAGUGUUGCUAAAUUUGCUUGCUGGUUUUGGAAUGGCCAAAUGGCCUAAGUGCUAGUAGAUAAGGUGCCGAGUGAGGUACAUAUUUAAAUAGAUAGCCUGAUUUUUAAACGCCCUAUUGGGACCGAAUGAAUUGUGUAUGAGUUGUGUGUGAUGUAUGACUUUAUGCUAUAAUUGGUUGACCGUAUAUUAGUAUGUCAAAUCUCUGAUUGCUAAGUCCUGAUGAAAUUGUAUGUACUGUAUACAUGUAUAACAUGUUGAAUUUUGAAACAUUGAUUGAUAUGCAUGUAAUAUGCCAUGAAUAACAUUGAGCAUGUAUGUAUUUAAAUUACAUACCAUAUGUGAAAAUGACUGUAUAGAGAGCAUGUAUGCGUGCCACCAUUACUGUAAAAUGAAAAGUAUGCAAGGCAUACAUUGGUUCUGUUUACUGAAAUGCAUGUUGUAGUGUUAAAACUGUAAUACUAAGCAUGAUAUGCUCAUUGAUUGUAUGAAAUAUUGCAUCUGUAUGAUAAGUGGUGUGUCCCUACUUCGAAUGUCCACAUGGUUUGAGCCAUGUCACACGGCCUAGCCACACGGUUGUGUGACCUCUGCUUUCUCAAUUUUUCAGGUUUUUUCUAAAGUUUUUUUUAUUUAUUCAAAAUUAUCCCUGAUCAUUUUUAAAUUGUUUUUAAGGUCCCGAAAGCUCGAUUUAAGUCCCAAAUGUGUAUGUUUUCUAUAAUUGGAAUGAGUUUUUGAAAAUUUAUACUUAAGUUGAAUUAUUAUUUUGUUUUGAAGUUUAAGGUUAUGCUUUGCACAGUAAUGCUCCGUAACCCUAAUCCGGUGAAAGAGACGAGUUAGGGGUGUUACAAUAACUUACAAAUAUAAGCUCAAUGUUGAUAGAGAUUAAAUUUCUGGUUGAAUUUUUUGUAAUGAUUUACAAGUAGAGGCUGAAUCUAACAGAGAUUAAGUAUAGCCUGAAUGUUGACAGGCUAGAUUUUGUUGAGAUGUUCAUUACCUAGUUAGCGACAUGUUUGUGCAUUAAAUGCAUAUUUGUGUACUUACGCAUAUAUACAUAUAUACACAUUAUUUCCUACUUUGAAUGUUGACAGAGAUUAUCGAAGAUUGGAGCAUUAUCACAUGCCCAUAUGAAAUUUGUUCAUACUACAGGGCCAAUAACUUUUGCUGAACGAAACUGGAUAUGUGUAAGUUUUUUUACUUCUUAAUCAAUAAUUCUCUAUUUCUUUACGAUAAACUUAUAUUUAUACAUUAUUGUUUUGGUAGUGAUUUUCUAGGAGGAAGAAAAGCAUAGAAAAGUUUCUUGACUUAAACAUUUUCAUUAUCAACACUACAAGGGUGAUGGCACAUUCUUAAAUGAGCAUGCCAAGAAACUAUGUAUGUAUAAGUGACCUAGACACAUUGCAUUGUGUGAAUUAUGCUACUUGUUUAUGACCAUAUGAUAAUUUGAUAUAAUAUGUUUGUUUAUACUACUUGAUAGCAAGAGGUAUUGACUGAACUAAAGAAAAUUGUUUCAAAAAUAGAGGAACCCAUGACAUAGGAGGAGAGGAUAACCCUUGAAAAUAAAGUUUAUGAAAUUGUGAUAGGUCCUUACUUGCAUGGAAGGACGAGCAGAUAUGGCAUUGGCAUAACUUCAAUGAUUUUGCAAAACUCACAAAAUACAAAAACAACGGGGACAACAUCAAAGGACCAAGUGAUUAAUGAAUUGCAGGAAAAGCAUGUAAAGGAUUAGUUGUAGUACGAGCUGAGAAUGAUGAGUUAAAACGCAAAUAUGAAGAUAUGGAGACUAAAAAUGACAAUAUAUAUGUUGAUCUUCAAGAAAAACUUUGAGCUCGAGACACGAAAAUUAAUUCAAUAUUUGAUUCUAUACAACAAAUUAAUGGAAGUACUAUUUUAUAUAAUUUUACAUAUUAAUUCAUGUGGUUUAUAACAUUCAAUGUGAUUACUAUUAUUUGAUCACAAUUUUCUCUCAUCUGAUAAUCCUUUGAUGCAAUGCUUGGAUGACAUUGGAAAAAACCGUGGGGAUAAGAUGUGACACUUGACGACUACUAUAGGUUGGUGAAGACAACAUGGGCUUCCUAGUGCUUUUGGAUAUGCUUGAGUUGGAAUAUAGCUAAAAAAAAAUAAUCACCUAUUUUCUUUUUGUUCCUUUUUGUUGCUAUAGUUGACAUUUUGUGGACAUGUAAUGUUAGAUUUUGGUGCUCGACUUGUAAACAAGCUACAUUUGGAAACUUGAUAUGUCAA